Non-coding RNA from Cinara cedri, 910 nucleotides. The record is from the annotation of a GenBank genome assembly. NCBI's taxonomy places the organism in Eukaryota, Metazoa, Arthropoda, Insecta, Hemiptera, Aphididae.
AAACCUGUUGGUGCAACCAGCAAAAACCGUCCGUUACCUUGGUGUCCGGUAGCGCAGGUUUUACCGUAACCGUCGAUAGGUAUUAUUUUUUUCGACACGUAAAUAUUUUCGUUGAUGACAAAAUAACGGCGUUCCGAAAAGGCAGUAAGGCCCCUUAUAGAUGUAGGGCCCGGACGCAACCGCAUUCCUCCCGCUUUACCCUCUAUUUACGCCACUGCUUAGGCUCUACUGUUUAUUUUUCAACUCAUCUUUUAUUAACCGGUUUAGUAAAUCGUUGGAAAAAAUCCGAACGGUGUGGCGCGGGUACAUCACCACUGUUAAACGUUCAAAUGUUUCUAUACGGUCAAACCGGGUAAGACGGGCCACGCAAGUAUCGAAAUAUAUAGAGAAAAAAAAAAUAAAUAUCGGAAAACAUUAAUUGCACGAUAAUAAUAUAGUAUAGGAAAGUAUAUAGAACGUAUUUGAACGAGUGUAUCGGGCGGGAGUUAUUCGCGCCGAGCGUCGUACGUACCUAUAGUAUAUAAUAAAUCGUAUUAAAUUAACGGUUUUUAUACUUUUACACGUGUAAAUACGUAUUUUACACCACACCGCGUAUUGCGUACGUAUUACCAACCCGAAUUACGAAACGUACCCAAAAUAAAUCCGUGGCUCGGGUUUAAAAGGGCCAAUGUCAAAAAUAAAAAAAAUGUUAAAAAUGUUGGGUGUAUAAUAUAUUCGCGUGUAGGUAUAUUAUAUGUACAUAUGUUAUGCAGGUAUAUCAUUUAUAAUCGAUUUUCAAUUUCCAUUUUUUCAUUUUAAAAAAGACUGACAUGUUUCGCACGAUGUUGUUCUGACCCGUAGGCGAGAAGUUGGGACGUUAGAGAGGGGAUUUUACGUAUGCGCAGCGAUUAACCGUUGAUAACGAAAAACG